UACAUGCAAGUCGAGCGGACAGAUGGGAGCUUGCUCCCUGAUGUUAGCGGCGGACGGGUGAGUAACACGUGGGUAACCUGCCUGUAAGACUGGGAUAACUCCGGGAAACCGGGGCUAAUACCGGAUGGUUGUUUGAACCGCAUGGUUCAAACAUAAAAGGUGGCUUCGGCUACCACUUACAGAUGGACCCGCGGCGCAUUAGCUAGUUGGUGAGGUAAUGGCUCACCAAGGCAACGAUGCGUAGCCGACCUGAGAGGGUGAUCGGCCACACUGGGACUGAGACACGGCCCAGACUCCUACGGGAGGCAGCAGUAGGGAAUCUUCCGCAAUGGACGAAAGUCUGACGGAGCAACGCCGCGUGAGUGAUGAAGGUUUUCGGAUCGUAAAGCUCUGUUGUUAGGGAAGAACAAGUACCGUUCGAAUAGGGCGGUACCUUGACGGUACCUAACCAGAAAGCCACGGCUAACUACGUGCCAGCAGCCGCGGUAAUACGUAGGUGGCAAGCGUUGUCCGGAAUUAUUGGGCGUAAAGGGCUCGCAGGCGGUUUCUUAAGUCUGAUGUGAAAGCCCCCGGCUCAACCGGGGAGGGUCAUUGGAAACUGGGGAACUUGAGUGCAGAAGAGGAGAGUGGAAUUCCACGUGUAGCGGUGAAAUGCGUAGAGAUGUGGAGGAACACCAGUGGCGAAGGCGACUCUCUGGUCUGUAACUGACGCUGAGGAGCGAAAGCGUGGGGAGCGAACAGGAUUAGAUACCCUGGUAGUCCACGCCGUAAACGAUGAGUGCUAAGUGUUAGGGGGUUUCCGCCCCUUAGUGCUGCAGCUAACG
RNAcentral lists this ribosomal RNA (824 nucleotides) under Bacillus subtilis. RNAcentral describes it as "bacterial SSU rRNA". It matches the Rfam family "Bacterial small subunit ribosomal RNA", at positions 52 to 857 of the family's 1533-position model. Lineage: Bacteria; Bacillati; Bacillota; Bacilli; Caryophanales; Bacillaceae. The record is from RNAcentral.